GAUGAAGAACUAGCGAAAUGCGAUAAGUAGUGUGAAUUGCAGAAUUCAGUGAAUCAUCGAAUCUUUGAACGCACAUUGCGCCCCUUGGUAUUCCAUGGGGCAUGCCUGUUCGAGCGUCAUUUGUACCUUCAAGCUCUGCUUGGUGUUGGGUGUUUGUCUCGCCUCUGCGUGUAGACUCGCCUUAAAACAAUUGGCAGCCGGCGUAUUGAUUUCGGAGCGCAGUACAUCUCGCGCUUUGCACUCAUAACGACGACGUCCAAAAGUACAUUUUUACACUCUUGACCUCGGAUCAGGUAGGGAUACCCGCUGAACUUAAGCAUAUCAAUAAGCGGAGGA
RNAcentral lists this unclassified non-coding RNA (336 nucleotides) under soil metagenome. Its description in RNAcentral is "partial contains 5.8S ribosomal RNA, internal transcribed spacer 2, and large subunit ribosomal RNA". The stretch from base 1 to 119 matches the Rfam family "5.8S ribosomal RNA", at positions 35 to 154 of the family's 154-position model. The record is from RNAcentral.